CGUGGAGGCAUCUGCAAAAGAGGAAACAGAGCAAACCAACAAAAGAAAAGAAUCUCAAGUCAGUGAACAAGUAAGUACAAGUGAUGUUCUCCAGCAAGUCGGAUCAGCGACAAGGAGGAGUCCAGCGACACAUGCAUUCAGAAAUCUCCCUAAGACCACAACAAAUUUCACACUCGCAAACUUUGAAGUGCAAUAGGCAUGAAGAACAAAAUUCUCAAACUAGCCAAAUGAACCGUUUAAAGCGCAUGGGAGUGGUCGAAAUCUGCCCUAAAUGGAUCGCCAUAGGUGAAAUCAAGCAAAGCAUCAACCCAAAAAGAGCAAUUUCGACAAACAAACCUGAGGUACCGAAAUCGAAAAAGUGGAGAAUCGAAGUGUGUACCUUGGUGGAAUGGCAAAUCGAUGAGAGAAACAGAUAGAGGGUGAAAAUCUGAUGAGGUUAGGCUUUGGAAUCACUCAAAUCGGUGAAGAUUUGAGUAAUUUCGGUUGUGGUGAGGGUGGUUAUGGCGAAAGUGUCGAGUGCGGCGAGGAGGAAGGGAGGAAAAAGGGUGUGAGGGUGAAGGUUUUAAAUAAACGUGGGAAAAAGAAGACUUACCUAUUUGUGAGUGACGGGCGACACCUAGGGUGGUGACGCGCGACACUUGCAAAGUGCGAAUGCUAUUGUCCUCGUGCCCGAUCCGCUUCCGAUUCCCCUCCGGUUCUGGAAUUCCGGGUAAGCUAGGUCCGAAACAUGAAAUUUUUUUUUUUUUUUUUUUUUUUUUUUUUUUUUUUUUUUUUUUUUUAGAG
Molecule: long non-coding RNA, 783 nt
Filed under: Eutrema salsugineum
Lineage: Eukaryota; Viridiplantae; Streptophyta; Magnoliopsida; Brassicales; Brassicaceae
Description: long non-coding RNA (ESAL_LNC000685)
Source: RNAcentral